CCUACGGGAGGCAGCAGUAGGGAAUAUUGCUCAAUGGGGGAAACCCUGAAGCAGCAACGCCGCGUGGAGGAUGAAGGUUUUAUGAUUGUAAACUCCUUUUGUUAGAGAAGAUAAUGACGGUAUCUCACGAAUAAGCACCGGCUAACUCCGUGCCAGCAGCCGCGGUAAUACGGAGGGUGCAAGCGUUACUCGGAAUCACUGGGCGUAAAGGGUGCGCAGGCGGGCUUGUAAGUCAGAUGUGAAAUCCUGUAGCUUAACUACAGAACUGCAUUUGAAACUAUGAGUCUAGAGUGUGGGAGAGGUAGGUGGAAUUCUUGGUGUAGGGGUAAAAUCCGUAGAUAUCAAGAGGAAUACUCAUUGCGAAGGCGACCUACUGGAACAUUACUGACGCUCAUGCUCGAAAGUGUGGGGAGCAAACAGGAUUAGAUACCCGUGUAGUC
This 440-nucleotide ribosomal RNA is filed under the name uncultured bacterium. RNAcentral describes it as "partial 16S ribosomal RNA". It matches the Rfam family "Bacterial small subunit ribosomal RNA", at positions 338 to 795 of the family's 1533-position model. The record is from RNAcentral.